Molecule: ribosomal RNA, 967 nt
Filed under: Salmonella enterica subsp. enterica serovar Braenderup
Lineage: Bacteria; Pseudomonadati; Pseudomonadota; Gammaproteobacteria; Enterobacterales; Enterobacteriaceae
Description: partial 23S ribosomal RNA
Rfam family: Bacterial large subunit ribosomal RNA
Source: RNAcentral
AAAAUUAGCGGAUGACCUGUGGCUGGGGGUGAAAGGCCAAUCAAACCGGGAGAUAGCUGGUUCUCCCCGAAAGCUAUUUAGGUAGCGCCUCGUGAAUUCAUCUCCGGGGGUAGAGCACUGUUUCGGCUAGGGGGCCAUCCCGGCUUACCAACCCGAUGCAAACUGCGAAUACCGGAGAAUGUUAUCACGGGAGACACACGGCGGGUGCUAACGUCCGUCGUGAAGAGGGAAACAACCCAGACCGCCAGCUAAGGUCCCAAAGUCAUGGUUAAGUGGGAAACGAUGUGGGAAGGCCCAGACAGCCAGGAUGUUGGCUUAGAAGCAGCCAUCAUUUAAAGAAAGCGUAAUAGCUCACUGGUCGAGUCGGCCUGCGCGGAAGAUGUAACGGGGCUAAACCAUGCACCGAAGCUGCGGCAGCGACGCUUAUGCGUUGUUGGGUAGGGGAGCGUUCUGUAAGCCUGCGAAGGUGGCCUGUGAGGGUUGCUGGAGGUAUCAGAAGUGCGAAUGCUGACAUAAGUAACGAUAAAGCGGGUGAAAAGCCCGCUCGCCGGAAGACCAAGGGUUCCUGUCCAACGUUAAUCGGGGCAGGGUGAGUCGACCCCUAAGGCGAGGCCGAAAGGCGUAGUCGAUGGGAAACGGGUUAAUAUUCCCGUACUUGGUGUUACUGCGAAGGGGGGACGGAGAAGGCUAUGUUGGCCGGGCGACGGUUGUCCCGGUUUAAGCGUGUAGGUGUGUGUUCCAGGUAAAUCCGGUUCACUUUAACACUGAGGCGUGACGACGAGGCACUACGGUGCUGAAGCAACAAAUGCCCUGCUUCCAGGAAAAGCCUCUAAGCAUCAGGUAACAUCAAAUCGUACCCCAAACCGACACAGGUGGUCAGGUAGAGAAUACCAAGGCGCUUGAGAGAACUCGGGUGAAGGAACUAGGCAAAAUGGUGCCGUAACUUCGGGAGAAGGCACGCUGACAC